This 248-nucleotide unclassified non-coding RNA is filed under the name Hevea brasiliensis (rubber tree). The record is from RNAcentral. Lineage: Eukaryota; Viridiplantae; Streptophyta; Magnoliopsida; Malpighiales; Euphorbiaceae.
GGACUAUUGUCCUAUGGUCUUUAGGUAUCGUAUAUAUUAAUAUAUGUUUAGUUAUAACUUUUUUUACAAUUUGUGCUAUGUUUUUGUAUGUUUUCAAGUUUUUAGGUAAUGCGAUUGGAUCUGAAUGUUCAUCAUUUCUGCUGGCAUAAAAAGGAUGCUGCUUUUUUUUUCCCUUCCAUUUUAUGUUGUGGUGGUAACCUAAAUCUUUUUCUUUCCCUUUUUUUCUUGCUGAUUUAGACAUUUGAGGG